Molecule: ribosomal RNA, 301 nt
Filed under: uncultured bacterium
Lineage: Bacteria
Description: partial 16S ribosomal RNA
Rfam family: Bacterial small subunit ribosomal RNA
Source: RNAcentral
CAGUAGCCGCGGGAAUACAGAGGGUGCGAGCGUUAAUCGGAAUUACUGGGCGUAAAGGGCGCGUAGGCGGUUAGGAAGGUGUGAUGUGAAAGCCCUGGGCUUAACCUAGGAAGUGCAUCGCAAACCAACUAGCUGGAGUAUAAGAGAGGGUGGCGGAAUUUCCGGUGUAGCGGUGAAAUGCGUAGAGAUCGGAAGGAACGUCAAUGGCGAAGGCAGCCACCUGGCUUAAUACUGACGCUGAGGCGCGAAAGCGUGGGGAGCGAACAGGAUUAGAUACCCGUGUAGUCCCUGUCUCUUAUAC